UUUACACACUACUCUUAGGGUCGCCACAUGGCCGGUAUUUAUUUGAGGCUGCCUGGCCUUUGCCGAUAUUGCAGUAAUACCGGCAAUACAAAUGCCGGUAUUUUUCUCAGUAUAAACAGAGAUUACUCUGCAAUACCAGCACCGGUCAGUAGGGGUUGCUGUGUGUGUGGAGAGAGGCAGGGACAGGAAGUUACAGCAUAUAUCUGCAUCUCUCUACUCA
This is a non-coding RNA of Pelobates cultripes (western spadefoot toad), 220 nucleotides long. The record is from the annotation of a GenBank genome assembly. Lineage: Eukaryota; Metazoa; Chordata; Amphibia; Anura; Pelobatidae.